This 254-nucleotide ribosomal RNA is filed under the name uncultured bacterium. RNAcentral's name for it is "partial 16S ribosomal RNA". It matches the Rfam family "Bacterial small subunit ribosomal RNA", at positions 524 to 776 of the family's 1533-position model. RNAcentral also lists the same sequence under 1 other name. The record is from RNAcentral.
UACGUAGGGGGCGAGCGUUGUCCGAAGUUACUGGGCGUAAAGCGCGCGUAGGCGGUUAAUUAAGUCUGUGGUGAAAGGUUCAGCGCUCAACGCGAACAUUGCCCUGGAUACUGGUUGACUUGAGUCUGGGAGGGGGUAGUGGAAUUCCUGGUGUAGCGGUGAAAUGCGUAGAUAUCAGGAGGAACACCGGUGGCGAAGGCGACUACCUGGCCUAAGACUGACGCUGAGGUGCGAAAGCGUGGGGAGCGAACGGG